AUCUCAUUGGUUGAAUGUAGAGUACUGGUUUUCGUGGCUAUGUCGAAGAGCUGGGCCAGUCUGCCCACAGGGUCUGAUGGAAGAUGUGCAGAGCCAAAUGGAGAAAAGAUUGAGGUAUGAAGGAAGCUAUUUGACAACUGUUGUUGAGUCAGCUGCUGCCAACUGAAAUGCAGUGGGAAAGAAACUAAAAGAAGAACAUACAUAGAACAUUACAGUGCAGGCCCUUCGGCCCUCGAUGUUGUGCCGACCUGUCAUACCGAUCUGAAGCCCAUCUAACCUACACUAUUCCAUGUACGUCCAUAUGCUUAUCCAAUGUCGACUUAAAUGUACCUAAAGUUGGCGAAUCUACUGCUGUUGCAGGCAAAGUGUUCCAUUCCCUUUCUACUCUCUGAGUAAAGAAACUACCUCUGACAUCUGUCCUAUAUCUUUCACCCCUCAAUUUAAAGCUAUGCCCCCUCGUGCUCGCCGUCACCAUCCUAGGAAAAAGGCUCUCCGUAUCCACCCUAUCUAACCCUCUGAUUAUAUGAUAUAUUUCUAUUAAGUCACCUCUCAACCUUCUUCUCUCUAAUGAAAACAGCCUCAAGUCUCUCAGCCUUUCCUCGUAAGACCUUCUCUCCAUACCAGGCAACAUCCUAGUAAAUCUCCUCUGCACCCUUUCCAAAGCUUCCACAUCCUUCUUAUAAUGCGGUGACCAGAACUGUACGCAAUAAUCCAAGUGCGGCCGCACCAGAGUUUUGUACAGCUUCACCAUAAUCUCUUGGUUUCAGAACUCGAUCCCUCUAUUAAUAAAAGCUAAAAAACUGUAUGCCUUCUUAACAUCCCUGUCAACCUGGGUGGCAACUUUCAAGGAUCUGUGUACAUGGACACCGAGAUCUCUCUGCUCAUCUACACUACUAAGAAUCUUACCAUUAGCCCUGUACUUUGCCUUCUGGUUACUCCUACCAAAGUGCAUCACCUCACACUUGUCUGCAUUAAACUCCAUUUGCCACCUCUCAGCCCAGCUCUGCAGCUUAUCUAUGUCUCUCUGCAAUCUACAGCAUCCUUCGUCACUAUCCACAACUUCACCAAUCUUUGUGUCGUCUGCAAGUUUACUAACCUAUCCUUCUACGCCCUCAUCCAGGUCAUUUAUAAAAAUGACAAACAGCAGUGGACCCAACACCGACCCUUGUGGUACACCACUAGUAACUGGUCUCCAGGAUGAACAUUUCCCAUCAACUACCACCCUCUGUCUUCUUUCAGCAAGCCAAUUUCUGAUCCAAACUGCUAUAUCUCCCACAAUUCCAUUCCUCCGCAUUUUGUACAUUAGCCCACUGUGGGGAACCUUAUCGAGCGCCUUGCUGAAAUCCAUAUACACCACAUCAACCGGUUUACUCUCAUCUACCUGUCUGGUCACCUUCUCAGAGAACUCAAUAAGGUUUGUGAGGCAUGACCUACCCUUCACAAAACCAUGCUCUCUAUCCCUGAUCAAUUUAUUCUUUUCUAGAUGAUUAUAAAUCCUAUCCCUUAUAACCUUUUCCAACACUUUACCAACAACUGAGGUAAGGCUCACUGGUCUGUAAUUACCAGGGUUGUCUCUACUCCUCUUCUUGAACAGGGGAACCACAUUUGCUAUCCUCCAGUCAUCUGGCACUAUUCCUGAAGACAAUGACGAGUUAAAGAUCAAUGCCAAAGGCUCAGCAAUCUCCUCCCUGGCUUCCCAGAGGAUCCGAGGAUAAAUCCCAUCCGGCCCAGGAGACUUAUCUAUCUUCACCCUCUGAAGGAUUUCUAAUACCUCUUCCUUGUGAACCUCCAUCCCACCUAGUCUAGUAGCCUGUAUCUCAGUAUUCUCCUCAACAACAUUGUCGUUUUCUAGAGUGAAUACUAUUGAAAAAUAUUCAUUUCGCGCUUCCCCUAUCUCAUCUGACUCCACACACAACUUAUCACGACUAUCCUUGAUUGGCCCUAAUCUUACUUUCGUCAUUCUUUUAUUCCUUAAAUACCUAUAGAAAGCCUUAGGGUUUACCCUGAUCCUAUCCGCCAACAACUUCUCAUGUCUCCUCCUGGCUCUUCUGAGCUCUCUCUUUAGGUCUUUCCUGGCUACCUCGUAGCCCUCAAGUGCCCUAACUGAGCCUUCACAUCUCAUCCUAACAUAAGCCACCUUCUUCCUCUUGACCAGAGAUUCCACCUCCUUCGUAAGAACCUUGAGAACUGGUUGUUAGUAGUCUUUAUAGUUGGAUGGUUGCCUCAGUUAAUAUUUCAGACUGACAACUAUGUUACUGCUAAAUUAAUGUCAGUUUGUUAAAGAAUGAUAGAAAUACCAGCCAUCAAAAUGUGUUUUAACCUGGAAUGUAUCUUCGUGUGCAGGUGGCAUUGUUACAUGGCCUAUUCCUGGAAUAACAUGUCCAUCGUACAUGUGAAACCAGCUCCCUGGAAAUUCAAGACAUGCUAUUCAAAAUAUCUCAUUAAACAAUAAUGUACUCAAUAACUGUUCACUGUUUUGAGAAAAUUCUAUCUCAGUUGAUGAAUGUACAAAAGUAUAUGGUUUACAUGA
Molecule: RNA transcript, 2530 nt
Organism: Stegostoma tigrinum
Lineage: Eukaryota; Metazoa; Chordata; Chondrichthyes; Orectolobiformes; Stegostomatidae
Gene name: hyaluronidase-1-like
Exons: 2
Source: RefSeq, a predicted model, not a curated record